This 1140-nucleotide long non-coding RNA is filed under the name Marmota monax (woodchuck). Lineage: Eukaryota; Metazoa; Chordata; Mammalia; Rodentia; Sciuridae. The record is from RNAcentral.
GUUAUCUUGAUAAGAAUAAAUUAUAUACACGUCAGACAGAAGCCAUAGGGCAUCUGCUAGUGUAAAUAGUUUCUUGUGAGAGAGAUAUAUGAUCACAUUAUGUGUUAUGCUAGAAUAAAGAAUUAUCCCAUAAAAGGCACAGUAUAAACAUCCAUAACUACCUGAGCCUUGUCAGGGCAGAGAAAGAAUUUAUAGCCCGCCUCCAGAAAGAGACCUAAGACCAAAUAAGAAAAAAAAUCACAACAACUUUAAGUGUAUGUUUCCACAUAUAUGAAAUAUCAAUAAAAGGUCAAUUCAUGCAGACAGAAAAUACAUUACUUUUUGCCUCUGGUUUGGAAGUGGGGGCAGUGUAGUUGACAGCUAAGGAAUGUGGAGUAUUUUAGGGUAAUGAAAAAAUUCCAAAAUUGAUUUAAGUGUUGAAUGCACAACUCUGUGAAUAUAAAACAAGCCACUUAAUUGUACAGUUCAAAAUGGUGAGUCAUAUUUUAAGAAAGGUGUUUUAAAAUAUGAUAAACAAGUAAAAAAUGGCAAAUACUGGAAACACUCUUAUAACAAGGUAGUUGAUGGGCUGUUUUUCUGAAUUUACAAAUAGUUUAAAUCAAAGGUAUAAAUAACUCACUGGAAAGCUGAGUUAGUAAAUAGUUUACAGGAAAUGACACAGGUUUGCAGAACUCAGUGAAAAAAUGUGGGACUUUUGUUAGUUAUUAGUGUUAUUUACCAAGAAUUUCUGCUGCCCAAUUUCCAGACAUGUAGACUUGCACUUCCACACACCUUUUGAACACAGCCACAUCCAUGUAACUUGUUUCAGUCAAUGAAAUGUAGCAGAAAGAUUUUGUCUGUUCUUGGAGGAAAUAUUUAACAGACACUAAGAUUUCUCAUGAUCUGUCUUUUCUUUUACAUGUUAACCAGCAAUGUUCCAGAUGGCAACUGUUCUAUCAUUUUAGUUAUAGUGAGCAAAGCCCUCAAUGGACAUGUGUUGGUCUUGUAGUACAGGCAAGAAAUAUAUUUUUGUUAUUUUAAGUUACUGAGAUUUUGGGGACCUUUUUUUAAACUGCAUUGCAGUGUAGCAUAUAUUGACUUGUAAGUUCAUUCAAAAUUGUACAGCAUAUUAAAAUAAUAAUAUUGCAUUUUUACACAUCA